CCUACGGGAGGCAGCAGUGGGGAAUAUUGGACAAUGGGGGGAACCCUGAUCCAGCGACGCCGCGUGAGUUAAGAAGUAUUUCGGUAUGUAAAGCUCUAUCAGCAGGGAAGAAAGAAAUGACGGUACCUGACUAAGAAGCCCCGGCUAAAUACGUGCCAGCAGCCGCGUUAAUACGUAGGGGGCAAGCGUUAGCCGGAUUUACUGGGUGUAAAGGCAGCGUAGACGGCGAUGCAAGUCUGAAGUGAAAGGCGGGGGCCCAACCCCUGGACUGCUUUGGAACCUGUAUGGCUGGAGUGCAGGAGAGGUAAGUGGAAUGCCUGGGGUAGCGGUGAAAUGCGUAGAUAUUAGGAGGAACACCAGUGGCGAAGGCGGCUUACUGGACUGUAACUGACGUUGAGGCUCGAAAGCGUGGGGAGCAAACAGGAUUAGAUACCCUAGUAGUC
Molecule: ribosomal RNA, 443 nt
Filed under: uncultured bacterium
Lineage: Bacteria
Description: partial 16S ribosomal RNA
Rfam family: Bacterial small subunit ribosomal RNA
Source: RNAcentral